AAAAACUUCACUUCCAUUCUCAUAUUCUCUCAAGAUUCUCUCAAUUUAGUCCAUGUUCCUUCCAAGUGUUGAGCAUGAGUUUUGGCAAGAUCUUGAAGUGUCAAGAAGGUGUUUGCUUGCAAGAACUAGAUCUUUCUCUCUUACUCACCAUCUUCUAGGGAAAGCAAAAAAGUUCUUCGCUACAGCUUUGAUCGACGGGUCUGGGAUGACAAAUUUCUUAACAUAUCACGACGCUUGAAGAAAGUCGGGCAGGCACACGACAUAGGUGAUAGAAGGGUUAUAAUCACUCACGAAUAACUACAACAAACAUCUAUUGGUUUCAUAAUACCCUCUUUAGUCUUACACGAUUAUGAAACUUUAUUUUCACACUCGAUAUAAGUAAAGAUUUACUAUUGUAUUAUGGUUUUGAUGGUUUUAAAACUACAUCUAUCUUUAAGAAAAUUAUGUUUUUUCUUGUUACGAACACUACUAGUUUUACAAAUAAAUUCUCAGUUUUGUCAAUACAAAAUCUUAUGAACUCACCAGCAUAAUGUUCACACUUUCAAAACCGCUUGUAUUCUCAGGUAAUCAUUAGUCGGAAGAGACUAAGCUUUUGGGAAGUGACACGAAAGCAUCAUGCUUGUUUAUUUUGUUUUCAUACAGUAUGUUGAUUCGAAAAAUUAACAUUUAGAACAUGUAACUUAUCUAAUUAUAAUGUAUGAUGGUUGUUUACGCACUAGU
This is a long non-coding RNA of Lactuca sativa (garden lettuce), 720 nucleotides long. RefSeq lists it as uncharacterized. The record is from RefSeq and is a predicted model, not a curated record. Lineage: Eukaryota; Viridiplantae; Streptophyta; Magnoliopsida; Asterales; Asteraceae.